GAUGAAGAACGUAGCGAAAUGCGAUAAGUAAUGUGAAUUGCAGAAUUCAGUGAAUCAUCGAAUCUUUGAACGCACAUUGCGCCCGCCAGUAUUCUGGCGGGCAUGCCUGUCCGAGCGUCAUUUCAACCAUCAAGCCCCGGGCUUGUGUUGGGGACCUGCGUCCGACGCAGGCCCUGAAAACCAGUGGCGGGCUCGCUGUCCACACCGAGCGUAGUAACUAACCUCGCUAUGGAGUGGCGCGGGCGCCUGCCGUAAAACCCCCAAUUUUUACAAGGUUAACCUCGGAUCAGGUAGGAAUACCCGCUGAACUUAAGCAUAUCAAUAAGCGGAGGA
RNAcentral lists this unclassified non-coding RNA (333 nucleotides) under soil metagenome. Its description in RNAcentral is "partial contains 5.8S ribosomal RNA, internal transcribed spacer 2, and large subunit ribosomal RNA". The stretch from base 1 to 120 matches the Rfam family "5.8S ribosomal RNA", at positions 35 to 154 of the family's 154-position model. The record is from RNAcentral.